This 253-nucleotide ribosomal RNA is filed under the name uncultured bacterium. RNAcentral describes it as "partial 16S ribosomal RNA". It matches the Rfam family "Bacterial small subunit ribosomal RNA", at positions 524 to 776 of the family's 1533-position model. The record is from RNAcentral.
UACAGAGGGUGCGAGCGUUGUUCGGAAUUAUUGGGCGUAAAGGGCGCGUAGGCGGUGCGGUAAGUCACCUGUGAAAUCUCCUGGCUCAACUGGGAGCUUGCAGGCGAAACUGCCGUGCUGGAGUGUGGGAGAGGUGCGUGGAAUUCCCGGUGUAGCGGUGAAAUGCGUAGAGAUGUGGAGGAACACCAAUGGCGAAGGCAGCCUUCUGGGCCAACACUGACGCUCACGCACGAAAGCGUGGGGAGCAAACAGG